GAUGAACGCUAGCUACAGGCUUAACACAUGCAAGUCGCGGGGUAACAUCUGGGAGAGCUUGCUCUUCCAGGAUGACGACCGGCGCACGGGUGAGUAACGCGUAUCCAACCUGGCCCAUACCACGGGAUAGCCCGUCGAAAGGCGGAUUAAUACCGUAUGCUGUCAUUAAGAUGCAUAUAUUGAUGACGAAAGGACUGGCGGUAUGGGAUGGGGAUGCGUCUGAUUAGCUUGUUGGCGGGGUAACGGCCCACCAAGGCGACGAUCGGUAGGGGUUCUGAGAGGAAGGUCCCCCACAUUGGAACUGAGACACGGUCCAAACUCCUACGGGAGGCAGCAGUGAGGAAUAUUGGUCAAUGGACGUAAGUCUGAACCAGCCAAGUAGCGUGCAGGAUGACGGCCCUAUGGGUUGUAAACUGCUUUUUAUGCGGGGAUAAAGUGUGGGACGUGUCCCAUAUUGCAGGUACUGCAUGAAUAAGGCCGGCUAAUUCCGUGCCAG
Molecule: ribosomal RNA, 496 nt
Filed under: uncultured bacterium
Lineage: Bacteria
Description: bacterial SSU rRNA
Rfam family: Bacterial small subunit ribosomal RNA
Source: RNAcentral